UUUCCUCUGAUUCUUGCUUACUCCUUCUGGAGUCACAGCCAUGGAACAUGGGACUGAGGCAGAGAAUGGAAUAAACUUGAAAAAUGAGGAGGGGUGAAUCCAGUUGACUGCAGGGCUUCUGGCUUCCCGGCAGGGACAUUCAAGUUUGGAGCCAGAGCUGACUUGGGAUGACAGAACAGGCCUUCUCAGCUCUGCAGCAGGGAUGUCCGAUAGAGACCAGACAGCUCCUACAAGUUUGCUGAAAAGAUAACUGAAGGAAGAUGAGGUAUAUGAACUCAUGCAACUUGGACCAUGUACUCCCAGCAGGGGCUUCAAUCAGGGCUUCCAAGAGUGAUAGGAAGUGAUAUCUCAACUCUCCUUUCUCAGUUCUGGAGCCUGGGAGGUCCAAGUCAAGCCACUGGCAGAUUCUGUGUCUUAUGAGGUCCUGCCUUCUUGUUCAUAGACGGCAUCUUCCAGCUGUCCUCUCGCAUGGUGGGAGGGGAUAAUGAGCUAUUUUAUAAGGACACUAACCCCUUUCAAUAGGCCUCCAGCCUCAUAACCUAAUCACUUCCCAAAGGAUGCCCUUCCUAAUAUCAUUUUAGGAGUUACAAUUUCAACGUAUGAAUUUGGCAGGGGGGUGGGGUGGAAACAAGCUUUUAGAACAUAGCAGUUUGGAAUUUGCUUAAUAAUAUGGAAUUUGUUUAAUAAUAUAAAUAAGUAAUGCCAAUUUAGAUUAAUAAAAUGUCUUCACCUUUAAGUAACAGUUGUUCAAAUCAUACAAAUAAUUUUGUGUAUAAUUUUUCCAGGACCAUAUGAAUCCGCAGAAUGUAAGUCCUAAUGCCAUCAAUUAUAUCAAAAAGAAGGAUGUUGGAGAAAUCAAUGAAUAGUUUCUACUACUGACUUUCUCCCAAGACUCUGUUCCUGACCCUCUUUCUUUCCAGUACUUUCAGUCUUCCUCUAUCCUGAAUUCUAUACCUCAGUCUACACUUAUGUACAGAUCUUCAUAUCAAAAAAAAAACUGUCUUUUUGACCCUGUUUACCUUCUGAAGCUACCAUCUUGAAAACAGUGCUAUCUUGAAAAUUAUGAUAAUUAUACUCAUGUAUUUGAGCAGUGUUACACAGGUUUCAAAAGAUUUUCAUAUAAUUUAUCUUUCAUCCCAUGACAGCCUUAAGCAGUUUUGUUGGUAUUUUUGUUUUUCAAACGAGAAAGUGACACUCAGAGAUUAAUACUUCUUCAAUUUCCAAACACUAAAAGGCUUUUAAAAGAUCAAGUCAGAACUCAAAUAUGAACCCACAAAAAAUAAACUGAAUGAUUUUUGGGCGGGAGUCACCUUAAGAGAACAACAUGAACUAAGCUAAUACCAUUUUCAUACAGUCCAUAUUUCUUUUCUUGGACAAUAAGAGGGAUUUCUGAAAGACAGACUUUGCUAAGAUAGGCAAAGACCUUGCUGAAAUGCAGAAACAUUAUAAAGGCAUUUAUAAAAUUUAUCAACCUAGUGACACUAUCAAAACAUGAAAUAGGGUUUGGGACUUGUUGGUAAUCUCCUUAUGAUCACACUUUUCUUCCACGAUGUUUCUAAAAUAACUAUAUGCCUUCUAGAAUUUUUACCUGGUUUUAGUGUCAGGUUCACCUGUCUGUUGUUCAUGCAAUGCAUCCU
Molecule: long non-coding RNA, 1637 nt
Filed under: Homo sapiens (human)
Lineage: Eukaryota; Metazoa; Chordata; Mammalia; Primates; Hominidae
Description: HSALNT0139690
Source: RNAcentral